RNAcentral lists this ribosomal RNA (515 nucleotides) under uncultured bacterium. RNAcentral's name for it is "bacterial SSU rRNA". It matches the Rfam family "Bacterial small subunit ribosomal RNA", at positions 32 to 518 of the family's 1533-position model. The record is from RNAcentral.
GACGCUGGCGGCGUGCCUAAUACAUGCAAGUCGAACGGUCUUUUCUAUGGAAGCUUGCUUCCACUGAGAAGAUAGUGGCGAACGGGUGAGUAACACGUGGGUAACCUGCCCAUAAGAGGGGGGAUAACAUCCGGAAACGGGUGCUAAUACCGCAUAGUUUUCUUGAUUGCAUGAUUGAGAAAGGAAAGACGGCCUUUGUGCUGUCGCUUAUGGAUGGACCCGCGGCGUAUUAGUUAGUUGGUGAGGUAACGGCUCACCAAGACGAUGAUACGUAGCCGACCUGAGAGGGUGAUCGGCCACAUUGGGACUGAGACACGGCCCAAACUCCUACGGGAGGCAGCAGUAGGGAAUCUUCCGCAAUGGACGAAAGUCUGACGGAGCAACGCCGCGUGAGUGAAAGAAGGUUUUCGGAUCGUAAAACUCUGUUGUCAGAGAAGAACAAGUUGGAGAGUAACUGCUCCAGCCUUGACGGUAUCUGACCAGAAAGCCACGGCUAACUACGUGCCAGCCGCCGC